CAAAAACAUUUCCUCUUAGUAUAAGAGGUAAAGCCUGCUCACUGAAAUUUUAAAGAGCCGCAGUAUUUUGACUGUGCUAAGGUAGCAUAAUCAUUAGUCUUUUAAUUGAGGACUGGUAUGAAUGGCUAAACGAGAAAUCCACUUUUUUUGUUAUAAACAAUAGAAUUUAUUUUCUCAGUGAAAAAACUGAGAUUAUCCUGAAAGACGAGAAGACCCUAUAGAGUUUUAUAUAGUAAAUUUCUACGUCAUAUUAGGUUUUUGUUGAUGUAGUUUGGUGCUGUAAUUUGUUGGGGCGACAUUAAGAUAAAAAAAACUCUUCUUUUUUUAAACUUUUAUGAAGGUGUAGUUUGAUCCUUUAAAAAAGACAAUAAGAAAAAAUUACCUUAGGGAUAACAGCGUAAUCUUUUUUGAGAGUUCUAAUCGACAAAAAGGUUUGCGACCUCGAUGUUGGACUAAAAUUUAGGUGUGGUGCAGUAGCUUCACUUUUAGGUCUGUUCGACCUAUAAUAUUUUACAUGAUCUGAGU
This 525-nucleotide ribosomal RNA is filed under the name Tetrachthamalus oblitteratus. RNAcentral's name for it is "partial 16S ribosomal RNA". It matches the Rfam family "Archaeal large subunit ribosomal RNA", at positions 1900 to 2679 of the family's 2987-position model. The record is from RNAcentral. Lineage: Eukaryota; Metazoa; Arthropoda; Thecostraca; Balanomorpha; Chthamalidae.